RNAcentral lists this ribosomal RNA (454 nucleotides) under uncultured bacterium. RNAcentral's name for it is "partial 16S ribosomal RNA". It matches the Rfam family "Bacterial small subunit ribosomal RNA", at positions 28 to 507 of the family's 1533-position model. The record is from RNAcentral.
GAUGAACGCUGACAGAAUGCUUAACACAUGCAAGUCCACUUGAACUUCGGUUUGGGUGGCGGACGGGUGAGUAACGCGUAAAGAACUUGCCUCACAGAUAGGGACAACAUUUGGAAACGAAUGCUAAUACCUGAUAUUAUGAUUAUAUGGCAUCGUAUAAUUAUGAAAGCUAUAUGCGCUGUGAGAGAGCUUUGCGUCCCAUUAGCUAGUUGGAGAGGUAACGGCUCACCAAGGCGAUGAUGGGUAGCCGGCCUGAGAGGGUGAUCGGCCACAAGGGGACUGGGACACGGCCCUUACUCCUACGGGAGGCAGCAGUGGGGAAUAUUGGACAAUGGACCAAGAGUCUGAUCCAGCAAUUCUGUGUGCACGAUGAAGUUUUUCGGAAUGUAAAGUGCUUUCAGUUGGGAAGAAAAAAAUGACGAUACCAACAGAAGAAGUGACGGCUAAAUACGUG